GAUCAUGGCUCAGGAUGAACGCUGGCGGCGUGCCUAACACAUGCAAGUCGAGCGAAGCGCUUUGCUUAGACUCUUCGGAUGAAGAGGAUUGUGACUGAGCGGGCGGACGGGUGAGUAACGCGUGGGUAACCUGCCUCAUACAGGGGGAUAACAGCUAGAAAUGACUGCUAAUACCGCAUAAGACCACAGCACCGCAUGGUGCGGGGGUAAAAACUCCGGUGGU
This 223-nucleotide ribosomal RNA is filed under the name uncultured bacterium. RNAcentral's name for it is "partial 16S ribosomal RNA". It matches the Rfam family "Bacterial small subunit ribosomal RNA", at positions 15 to 219 of the family's 1533-position model. The record is from RNAcentral.